This 399-nucleotide ribosomal RNA is filed under the name uncultured bacterium. RNAcentral's name for it is "partial 16S ribosomal RNA". It matches the Rfam family "Bacterial small subunit ribosomal RNA", at positions 361 to 772 of the family's 1533-position model. The record is from RNAcentral.
AUGUGUCACAAGGUGCGCAAGCCUGAUGCAGCAACGCCGCGCGAGUGUGGACGGCCUUCCGGUUGUAAACUCCUUCUAGCUGGGAAGAAGCGAAAGAUACGGUACCUCCAUAAAAAUCACCGGCUAGCUACGUGCCAGCAGCCCCGGUAAUACGUAGGGUGCAAGAGUUGUCCCGAAUUAUUGGGCGGAAAGAGCUCGUAGGCGGCUUGUCCCGUCUGCUGUGAAAUCCCGGAGCUCAACUCCGGGCCUGCAGUGGGUACGGGCAGGCUAGAGUGCGGUAGGGGAGAUUGGAAUUCCUGGUGUAGCGGUGGAAUGCGCAGAUAUCAGGAGGAACACCGAUGGCGAAGGCAGAUCUCUGGGCCGCUACUGACGCUGAGGAGCGAAAGCAUGGGGAGCGAA